This 264-nucleotide ribosomal RNA is filed under the name uncultured bacterium. Its description in RNAcentral is "partial 16S ribosomal RNA". It matches the Rfam family "Bacterial small subunit ribosomal RNA", at positions 793 to 1055 of the family's 1533-position model. The record is from RNAcentral.
GUCCACGCCCUAAACGAUGUCAACUGGUUGUUGGGUCUUUACUGACUCAGUAACGAAGCUAACGCGUGAAGUUGACCGCCUAGGGAAUACGGCCGCAAGGUUGAAACUCAAAGGAAUUGACGGGGACCCGCACAAGCGGUGGAUGAUGUGGUUUAAUUCGAUGCAACGCGAAAAACCUUACCCACCUUUGACAUGUACGGAAGUUACCAGAGAUGGUUUCGUGCUCGAAAGAGAACCGUAACACAGGUGCUGCAUGGCUGUCGU